RNAcentral lists this unclassified non-coding RNA (517 nucleotides) under Athalia rosae (coleseed sawfly). RNAcentral describes it as "misc RNA ENSAEAG00005010290.1". Lineage: Eukaryota; Metazoa; Arthropoda; Insecta; Hymenoptera; Athaliidae. The record is from RNAcentral.
CCCCCGCUAUAUAUACGAGCGAGCAAUAGUAGUCGUGCACGGUGCAUUGGUCUCUCGGAAUCAACUGGUUAUUAAUAGGUCGUAUUUACUAUCAGUUGCCGUAACAGCAUUCCUUACUUGAAAAGCAAGGAUCCCGAACGACGCCCGCGUGUCGUACGGCCAAAACUUCGAUACGGUGGUAGGUACACCGGUUGACCGCGGUCUACCGACGAUUAUCGUUCUUCAACCGAUCUCCGUCUCUACUCCCUUCCUCAAAUAAACAACUCGGGAUCGAACUGGAAGGUGGAGAGCUGUGAGGUGGGGUGUUCCAAGGCUAUCGCCAAGACGAUUGUUCCCUCCCUCAUCCCUGUUAUCGGAGUACUUCGAUGGAUUAUGGGUGGCAUGCACCGACGAUUCACAGCGUACCUACGUCUUUUUUUCCAAGAACCAACGAAUUUACCAACCGUCUCGCCCGAGCGGGAAUGUAUCGCAAUUGUUCCCUCAACACGGAAUUGGACAAGUCAUUUUUCUGAAAGGA